AUGGCGGCGCUGCCCUACUUUGACGAGAUCGACCCCUCCGCCAUCGACGUCCUCCUCGUCACCCACUUCCACUUGGACCACGCCGCCUCGCUGCCCUACUUCCUCGAGAAGACGACGUUCAAGGGCCGCGUGUUCAUGACCCACGCCACCAAGGCCAUCUACAGGCUGCUGCUCUCGGAUUACGUCAAGGUCAGCAAGGUGUCGGUGGAGGACAUGCUGUUUGACGAGCAGGACAUCAUCCGUUCCAUGGACAAGAUCGAGGUCAUAGACUUCCACCAAACACUUGAAGUUAAUGGCAUACGCUUCUGGUGCUAUACUGCUGGCCAUGUACUUGGUGCUGCCAUGUUCAUGGUGGAUAUUGCCGGUGUUCGCAUUCUUUACACCGGUGACUACUCCCGUGAAGAAGACCGGCACCUAAAAGCUGCUGAGAUCCCCCAAUUCUCCCCUGAUAUUUGCAUUAUUGAGUCAACUUAUGGCGUGCAGCAACACCAACCCCGCCAUGUCAGAGAAAAGCGCUUCACUGAUGCCAUCCACAACACUGUUUCUCAAGGGGGGCGUGUUCUUAUCCCGGCAUAUGCUCUUGGCGCCAUGGCACGGCCACACAUGGAGGGCCAGGGCGAAGACACGGCCACGGUGGUGCAGCCUGUGGUCCACAUCGCCGGCAAGAAGAACCACCACGAGGUCGGCUUUAGGGGAAGAGAGAGGGAGAGGUCGGGUCAUGUGCAAACAACAUCAAAAUAA
RNAcentral lists this ribosomal RNA (741 nucleotides) under Triticum aestivum (bread wheat). RNAcentral describes it as "partial small subunit ribosomal RNA". Lineage: Eukaryota; Viridiplantae; Streptophyta; Magnoliopsida; Poales; Poaceae. The record is from RNAcentral.